AGAUUGAACGCUGGCGGCAUGCUUUACACAUGCAAGUCGAACGGUAACAGGCCGCAAGGUGCUGACGAGUGGCGAACGGGUGAGUAAUGCAUCGGAACGUGCCCAGUCGUGGGGGAUAACGCAGCGAAAGCUGUGCUAAUACCGCAUACGAUCUAUGGAUGAAAGCGGGGGACCGAAAGGCCUCGCGCGAUUGGAGCGGCCGAUGUCAGAUUAGCUAGUUGGUGGGGUAAAGGCCCACCAAGGCGACGAUCUGUAGCUGGUCUGAGAGGACGACCAGCCACACUGGAGCUGAGACACGGUCCAGACUCCUACGGGAGGCAGCAGUGGGGAAUUUUGGACAAUGGGCGCAAGCCUGAUCCAGCAAUGCCGCGUGCAGGAAGAAGGCCUUCGGUUGAAACUGUCUUUUGUACGGAACGAAACGGUCUGGUUAAUACCUCGGGCUAAGUGACGGUAACCGUAAGAAUAAGACACCGGACUAACUACGUAG
This 487-nucleotide ribosomal RNA is filed under the name uncultured soil bacterium. RNAcentral's name for it is "bacterial SSU rRNA". It matches the Rfam family "Bacterial small subunit ribosomal RNA", at positions 26 to 508 of the family's 1533-position model. The record is from RNAcentral.